ACCCCUGGGAAACUGGGACUAAUCCCUGAUAAGUCUCCGUAGCUGGAAUGCUCGGAGACGGAAAGCUCCGGCGCCACAGGAUGGGUCUGCGGCCUAUCAGGGUAGUAGUGGGUGUAGAGUACCUACUAGCCUACGACGGGUACGGGUUGUGAGAGCAAGAGCCCGGAGAUGGAUUCUGAGACACGAAUCCAGGCCCUACGGGGUGCAGCAGGCGCGAAAACUUUACAAUGCGGGACACCGCGAUAAGGGGACCUCGAGUGCUGGCAUACAAUGCUGGCUGUCCAGCUGCCUAAAUAGCAGUUGAUAGCAAGGGCCGGGCAAGACCGGUGCCAGCCGCCGCGGUAACACCGGCGGCUCGAGUGGUAACCGCUAUUAUUGGGUCUAAAGGGUCUGUAGCCUGCAGGUUAAGUCUCUUGGUAAAUCCGGCAGCUCAACUGUCGGGGUUCAGGGGAUACUGGUCUGCUCGGGACCGGGAGAGGUGAGAGGUACCUCAGGGGUAGGGGUGAAAUCUUGUAAUCCUUGAGGGACCACCAGUGGCGAAGGCGUCUCACCAGAACGGGUCCGACGGCAAGGGACGAAAGCUAGGGGCACGAACCGGAUUAGAUACCCGGGUAGUCCUAGCCGUAAACGAUACUCGCUAGGUGUCGGCCACGGUGCGACCGUGGUCGGUGCCGUAGGGAAGCCGUGAAGCGAGCCACCUGGGAAG
This 706-nucleotide ribosomal RNA is filed under the name uncultured archaeon. RNAcentral's name for it is "bacterial SSU rRNA". It matches the Rfam family "Archaeal small subunit ribosomal RNA", at positions 128 to 835 of the family's 1478-position model. The record is from RNAcentral.